ACGUAGGGGGCUAGCGUUGUCCGGAAUCACUGGGCGUAAAGGGUUCGCAGGCGGAAAUGCAAGUCAGAUGUAAAAGGCAGUAGCUUAACUACUGUAAGCAUUUGAAACUGCAUAUCUUGAGAAGAGUAGAGGUAAGUGGAAUUUUUAGUGUAGCGGUGAAAUGCGUAGAUAUUAAAAAGAAUACCGGUGGCGAAGGCGACUUACUGGGCUCAUUCUGACGCUGAGGAACGAAAGCGUGGGUAGCAAACAGG
RNAcentral lists this ribosomal RNA (251 nucleotides) under uncultured bacterium. Its description in RNAcentral is "partial 16S ribosomal RNA". It matches the Rfam family "Bacterial small subunit ribosomal RNA", at positions 525 to 776 of the family's 1533-position model. The record is from RNAcentral.